CGGGCACGGUCCGGGCUUAUAUUUCUUGGAACAGAAUGUCAUAGAGGGUGAGAAUCCCGUCUGGAGCUCGGACACGACCUAUGUGAAACUCCUUCGACGAGUCGAGUUGUUUGGGAAUGCAGCUCUAAAUGGGUGGUAAAUUUCAUCUAAAGCUAAAUAUUGGCCAGAGACCGAUAGCGCACAAGUAGAGUGAUCGAAAGAUGAAAAGCACUUUGAAAAGAGAGUUAAAAAGUACGUGAAAUUGUUGAAAGGGAAGCGCUGGCGACCAGACUUGCGCGUCGGGGUUCCCCCUUGCUUCUGCUUGGGUUACUCCCCGGCGUUCAGGCCAACAUCGGUUUCGGGGGUUGGUUAAAGGCCUUGGGAAUGUACCUACCCUCCGGGGUAGACUUAUAGCCCAGGGUGUCAUGCGACCUCCCGGGACCGAGGAACGCGCUUCGGCUCGGAUGUUGGCGUAAUGGUUGUCAGCGACCCGUCUUGAAACACGGACCAAGGAGUCUAACAUCUAUGCGAGUGUUAGGGUGUCAAACCCUUACGCGGAAUGAAAGUGAACGGAGGUAGGAAGCCUUAAGGCUGCACUAUCGACCGAUCCUGAAGUUUACGGACGGAUUUGAGUAAGAGCAUAGCUGUUGGGACCCGAAAGAUGGUGAAC
This 649-nucleotide ribosomal RNA is filed under the name Cyphellophora europaea. RNAcentral describes it as "eukaryotic LSU rRNA". It matches the Rfam family "Eukaryotic large subunit ribosomal RNA", at positions 165 to 831 of the family's 3401-position model. The record is from RNAcentral. Lineage: Eukaryota; Fungi; Ascomycota; Eurotiomycetes; Chaetothyriales; Cyphellophoraceae.